UACGGGCUCAUUACACCACGGCUAUAACUUUACUUGGACACUUGACUUCUUACUUGGAUAACUGUGGUAAUUCUAGAGCUAAUACAUGCACCAAAGCUCCAAUCUCCCCAGAGCGGAUCGCAUUUGUUCGCCACAAAACCAAGCGCCUUCGGGCGUCCAGUGUUGACUCAGAACAACUAAGCUGAUCGCACGGUCUUGUACCGGCGACGUGUCUUUCAAGUGUCUGCCUUAUCAACUUUCGAUGGUAGUGUACCUGACUACCAUGGUGAUGACGGGUAACGGAGGAUAAGGGUUCGACUCCGGAGAAGGGGCCUGAGAAAUGGCCACUACGUCUAAGGAUGGCAGCAGGCGCGCAAAUUACCCACUCUCAACAUGAGGAGGUACUGACGAGAAAUAACGAGACCGAUCUCUUAUGAGGCCGGUCAUCGGAAUGGGUACAAUUUAAACCCUUUAACGAGUAUCUAUGAGAGGGCAAGUCUGGUGCCAGCAGCCGCGGUAAUUCCCGCUCUCAAAAUGCAUAGAAUUAUUGCUGCGGUUAAAAAGCUCGUAAUUGGAUCUGUGCUAUCCGGCCGGUCCACCCACUGGGUGUGCACUGGUUCGGUUGGCUUUUCUGCGGGUCUUUCCCCGGCUUUGGCCUUCACCGGUCGGCAUCGGUGGGCUGGCAAUUUAACUUUGAACAAUUCAAAGUGCUGCAAACAGGCGUUUCGCUUGAAUGUUCUUGCAUGAAAUAGUACGAGGAGGAUUUCGGUCCGAUUUUAUUGGUUUUGCCUGACCGAAAUAUGGGUAAACAGAGACGAACGGGGGCCUUUCUUAUUGCUACGUGAAAAGGUGAAAUUCUUGGACCGUACCAGGACGGACUA
Molecule: ribosomal RNA, 860 nt
Filed under: Globodera rostochiensis
Lineage: Eukaryota; Metazoa; Nematoda; Chromadorea; Rhabditida; Heteroderidae
Description: SSU rRNA
Rfam family: Eukaryotic small subunit ribosomal RNA
Source: RNAcentral